This 183-nucleotide ribosomal RNA is filed under the name Triticum aestivum (bread wheat). RNAcentral's name for it is "partial small subunit ribosomal RNA". The record is from RNAcentral. Lineage: Eukaryota; Viridiplantae; Streptophyta; Magnoliopsida; Poales; Poaceae.
AUGUCUCUUAUUAUGCUGAUCUCAUGGGAAAUUUGGAACGAGAGGAAUGCACACGUCUUCCGUAACACCGCGGUGCCGGUUGGGGUUCUUAUUGCUAGAAUCAAAAAUGUUUCAAAGCUUUGGUGCCUUGCAGGCAGGGGCGGCGCUAGGGGUAUUCUUGGGUCUUCAUGUGAAUACCCAUGA